Neltuma alba is the source of this 618-nucleotide long non-coding RNA. RefSeq lists it as uncharacterized. NCBI's taxonomy places the organism in Eukaryota, Viridiplantae, Streptophyta, Magnoliopsida, Fabales, Fabaceae. The transcript is spliced from 3 exons. The record is from RefSeq and is a predicted model, not a curated record.
UUCACAAUACGUGCCCUAUCUGCCGCCAUGAGCUGCGAAGUGCUUCAUCUUCUUCUUCAUAUUCAAAUUUCCGUCGAGAUUUCUCACAUUUCGACUAUCGAUAUGGAUUUAGGUUUGAAGAUGCUGCAGAAGGUUUGAAUUGGAUUUGGAGCCAGCUUGUUUCGUUCCGACCUGUGCGUGCAAUUGUAGAAUGGGCUGAGAGAUUUUUGUUUGAUUUCCCGGAAAAUCAUGAUCGAGGAGGUGGCCCGUGGUGGCGCUCAUUGUUCAUGUUAUAGUCUGAUAUCAUCUGAUCUCAUGCGUUAAACUUGUUUCAUUCAUAUGGCUGCAACAAGAAGUUGAAGCAGCAGUUGAGGCAGUACGCAAUCUUAGAUUGGAGGAAUGCAAGAUGCAGAUUGUAUAGUUUCGCAAGAAAUUGAAGAAGCAAAACACAGGGAAUACAAAUUUCAAGGCCACUAAAGCUUAGGCAUAACACAUAAUAUUAUAACAGUUGCUGCAUGCCGUACAUAAUUGUAUACACACCAUACACAGUCCACAGCAUACACACACAACAUAUUUACUGUACUGUACUUCUGCUUUUCUUCUUUUCCCAUUUUACUAUCUACUACAAGAUAUAUACAA